RNAcentral lists this long non-coding RNA (423 nucleotides) under Capsicum annuum. RNAcentral describes it as "long non-coding RNA (CANN_LNC017371)". Lineage: Eukaryota; Viridiplantae; Streptophyta; Magnoliopsida; Solanales; Solanaceae. The record is from RNAcentral.
CCGGGGGUCUAUCAGAAACAACGUCUCUACUUCACCUGAGGUAGCGGUAUGGAUGGCGUACACUCUACCCUUCCUAAACCCCACUAGGUGGGAAUGCACUGGGUAUGUUGUUGUUGUAAUUUUAAGGUCCUCUUCUUAAAGUUGGCUUUAGGUCACAAAUCCCGUUGAGCCAGCCUUGAUUAUAGGGAUUUCAUUUUAUUUCCUUAAAUGUAUAUUUCAUAGUUAGGCUUCAGUUUUCUGUAUAAAUACAUCCAUAAUUGGUCGUAUAGAACAACUUUAGAAUUCAUGAAAUGUCUCUUCUAAAAUUCUACAUUGUAUUAAAGCUCGUGCUUUUUUAGGUGAUAAAGUUUCCUCUCUCCAUUGAGCCAUUGUAAAGUUUUUCUCUGGUUUUCUUUUUUGCCUUUUUAUUAAUCUAGGCUUUUU